Molecule: ribosomal RNA, 503 nt
Filed under: uncultured bacterium
Lineage: Bacteria
Description: partial 16S ribosomal RNA
Rfam family: Bacterial small subunit ribosomal RNA
Source: RNAcentral
AACGAACGCUGGCGGCGUGCCUAACACAUGCAAGUCGAACGAGAAAGGGGCUUCGGCUCCGAGUAAAGUGGCGCACGGGUGAGUAACACGUGGGUAACCUGCCUCUAAGAUUGGGAUAACUCGUCGAAAGAUGAGCUAAUACCGAAUAAGACCACAGUUCCCGCGGGAACAGGGGUCAAAGGUAGCCUCUGCUUGCAAGCUAUCACUUAGAGAUGGGCCUGCGCACCAUUAGCUAGUUGGUAGGGUAACGGCCUACCAAGGCAAAGAUGGUUAGCUGGUCUGAGAGGAUGAUCAGCCACACUGGAACGGAGACACGGUCCAGACUCCUACGGGAGGCAGCAGUGGGGAAUAUUGCGCAAUGGGCGAAAGCUUGACGCAGCAACGCCGCGGGAGUGAUGAAGGCCUUCGGGUCGUAAAGCUCUGUCGGGAGGAACGAAUGCUCCUGAGGUUAACAGCCUCGGGAGGUGACGGUACCUUCAAAGGAAGCACCGGCUAACUCUGUG